CCUCAAAUCAUUAAAACCAACCUCAAUUCACUCAUACUUUCCCAAUUCUCACAAAAUUUCAUAUAUAAUGCACACCAACUGUUCGACAAAACAACAAUAUUUGCAACCAAGCUUCAGGAGGAUAAUAUUUGAUGCUGGUGAUGAAUGAAAAGUAGUAUAAAUGAGAACAUGGUGAUAUACAACUUAGAACAAGGACCAUUUAAUGAUAUCUCAUGGCUUCGUAGCUCAUGGCAUUCCAAAUAAAAUUGGUAUCGUCAGCCUUGUUGAGUUGCAGGGAGCUUCAAUUCAUAGAGAGACUUGUAAAUAAUCCCACAUUCAAUGCUACUAGUAAUAUCUUGUGAUCAGGUGAAAAUUCAAUCUUAACUUCUUCCUUUUCCAUGUAGUGGUACUUGUUGUGUGAAAAUUUCAUCAUACACCCGGUCAAAAUACAUGAGUUAUAAAAAAUCAAAAUGAUUCUCCUCU
Molecule: long non-coding RNA, 462 nt
Organism: Chenopodium quinoa (quinoa)
Lineage: Eukaryota; Viridiplantae; Streptophyta; Magnoliopsida; Caryophyllales; Amaranthaceae
Exons: 2
Source: RefSeq, a predicted model, not a curated record